AGCUAUAUCUUAAAUACUGUGAUUUGACUUUUUGAAAAAUAUCCUAAUACAAAUAUUUUACUAACUUACAAUCACUCAUUUAAUAAGAAACAUUUGGAUUCUUUUGAAAUCAGUGUUAAUUGACUCAUAUUCUUAAAAGCCUGGCUCUUGACCCUAUUGGAAACACAAAGGAAGCUGAAAUCAAACAUCUAAAAUACACUGCGUACACGUGUGCGUGCACACACACACACACACACACACACACACAGCUCUUCAUUUCUCCUGAGCCAUGCAGAAUUUACUUUCAAUGUGGAAAUCUGUUCCCUUUACCACACUGUAUAUGCACAGAGCACAAGAGAGGCUAUCUCUAGUCACUUCCACCAGCGAGGCCUUAGACUCCGUAUUAGAGGCCACCGAUUUCAUACAACAGUGUUUCGCUAAAGACCCUUCACUAUUCUUGUUUAGUAAAUAGCUGUCUGCUCUUCAGGGAACUGUUACCUAUGGGUUAUUACCAAAGAACGCUGGCAAUUGGAAAUGUCCUGAUGGAAAUUCUUUGCACGUGCCGGUUCUCUGGCAUCCUCCAGGUGGCCCAACCCAAAGCAGAAAGCAGAAACCACAGACCCCGUGAGUCUCCCCAUACCUUGUUUCCAAUAACUUGGCAAAACUUCUUGGUGCAUAUUGGUUACACCCUCUGGGAUUCAUAAUGCCAUUAGGCUAAAACCCUAAGAGAGAGGGUUGACAGAAACACACGCGAGAAUGAGGCAGAUCCCAGAGCAAGGACUGGGCCCAGACUCUCCACAUGUGCUCUACUAGUGAGUGCCUUAUACUCUCAGUAUUUUGGGGCUUACAGCUUCUUAUUUGUGCUAAAAAGGUGCAGUUCCAAAGUAGGAACUGCCACACAGGCCCCAGCAUCCUCUCUCCAACUUCAUACCUCUCUCCUGGUGGGGGGAGCGGGCAUCCAGGACCUCCGGAAUCAAGGAUGUGCAGAGAAGAGCGAAAGUAAUUUUUCUAGUCACAUGAACUGAUUGGUUCCAGGCAAUUAGAAAAUGGCUAUAAAAUAACCUUAAUUUUAAAAAAAAAUCUUGGGUCUUCGUUUUCCUAUUAGGAGACUGAACUGACCACAUGUAUUGAUUUAUAUCCUGAAUAUAUGGGAACUUCUGUGUUUGGGAUGUCCUACUGUAAGACUGAUGAAUGUACAGAGUUAAUUUCAGGGUACAGUUUUGCCUUAAUGGUUUUAAAAAAUAAACUAUUUUUUAAAAUUUU
RNAcentral lists this long non-coding RNA (1242 nucleotides) under Homo sapiens (human). RNAcentral describes it as "non-protein coding lnc-PPARA-4:1". Lineage: Eukaryota; Metazoa; Chordata; Mammalia; Primates; Hominidae. The record is from RNAcentral.